This 379-nucleotide unclassified non-coding RNA is filed under the name soil metagenome. RNAcentral's name for it is "partial contains 5.8S ribosomal RNA, internal transcribed spacer 2, and large subunit ribosomal RNA". The stretch from base 1 to 120 matches the Rfam family "5.8S ribosomal RNA", at positions 35 to 154 of the family's 154-position model. The record is from RNAcentral.
GAUGAAGAACGUAGCGAAAUGCGAUAAGUAAUGUGAAUUGCAGAAUUCAGUGAAUCAUCGAAUCUUUGAACGCACAUUGCGCCCGCCAGUAUUCUGGCGGGCAUGCCUGUUCGAGCGUCAUUUCAACCCUCAAGCCCCAGCGGCCUGGUGUUGGGGACCGGCGACCUCGCCCGAGCCCGCCCUCCGGGGCGCGUGCCCGGUGCGUCCGCCGCCCCCGAAAUGAAUUGGCGGCCUCGUCGCGGCCUCCUCUGCGUAGUAGCACAACCUCGCAAGCGUGAGCGCGACGCGGCCACUGCCGUAAAACGCCCAACUUUUUUAGAGUUGACCUCGGAUCAGGUAGGAAUACCCGCUGAACUUAAGCAUAUCAAUAAGCGGAGGA